CCUACGGGAGGCAGCAGUAAGGAAUCUUCCACAAUGGACGAAAGUCUGAUGGAGCAACGCCGCGUGCAGGAUGAAGGCUUUCGGGUCGUAAACUGCUUUUAUAUGGGAAGAUUAUGACGGUACCAUAUGAAUAAGGACCGGCUAACUACGUGCCAGCAGCCGCGGUAAUACGUAGGGUCCAAGCGAUAUCCGGAAUUACUGGGCGUAAAGCGUGUGUAGGUGGAUUAAUAAGUGUGAUGCGAAAUCCGGCGGCUCAACCGUUUGGACUGUGUCGCAUACUGUUAGUCUAGAGGACGGCAGAGGUAAGUGGAAUUACGGGUGUAGCAGUGAAAUGCGUAGAUAUCCGUAGGAACACCAAUGGCGAAGGCAGCUUACUGGGCCACACCUGACACUGAGACACGAAAGCGUGGGGAGCGAACAGGAUUAGAUACCCUGGUAGUCCACGACCGUAACGAUAGCAUACUAUUAGUAGUAGGGUAGUACGUACCCGUCGUGUCUGAGAGACUACGACGAUAAGUAUGCCGCCGUGGGAGGUACGAGCGCGAGUAACGUUAAACGUAACGUUAAAGAAGUAGUUAGACGNGNGAGNGCGACGACGACGACGACGGAGGAGGAGG
This 617-nucleotide ribosomal RNA is filed under the name uncultured bacterium. RNAcentral describes it as "bacterial SSU rRNA". The stretch from base 1 to 526 matches the Rfam family "Bacterial small subunit ribosomal RNA", at positions 338 to 873 of the family's 1533-position model. The record is from RNAcentral.